GAAGCGUGUCUUCCUGGCAGCUCUGCGCAUGCGCGUCAGUCAGUGUUGGAGGGAACGACAGCAGGACGCCUGAUGGAGUCACCUUUAAAGCAGAUGUCAUCACCUGAAGUCAGCGAGCAGACUGUGGAUGAGAGUGACAGAUCUCAGCAGAUGUCAUCACCUGAAAUCAGUGAGCAGACUGUGGAUGAGAGUGACAGAUCUCAGCAGAAGUCAUCACCUGAAGUCAGCGAGCAGACUGUGGAUGAGAG
Salarias fasciatus (jewelled blenny) is the source of this 248-nucleotide long non-coding RNA. RefSeq lists it as uncharacterized. The transcript has 4 exons. The record is from RefSeq and is a predicted model, not a curated record. NCBI's taxonomy places the organism in Eukaryota, Metazoa, Chordata, Actinopteri, Blenniiformes, Blenniidae.